This is a long non-coding RNA of Cotesia glomerata, 552 nucleotides long. RefSeq lists it as uncharacterized. The transcript is spliced from 4 exons. Lineage: Eukaryota; Metazoa; Arthropoda; Insecta; Hymenoptera; Braconidae. The record is from RefSeq and is a predicted model, not a curated record.
CAGACAUUUCAAAGCUGAUGAUAUUUGUCAAUCAAAAAUUUUUGGAGUUGUUAAAUCUUCUAUAAAACGUAAUGCAGUUCCUACACUUUAUUUAACAAAUCCACUCAGUAUUGAUAAAACUAGUAAAUUACCACCAAACACGCCGCUAUCGGAAGUAUUUGAUGAGAAUGGAGUCAGCAAUCAAUCGUCAUCAUGUUUUUCUGAGAAUAAUAUUGUCAACCAAUAUAAUGUACUCAAUACUUUGCAAAAAAGUCCAAAAAAAUGUUUUGAAGUAGACAAUACUGAAUGUCAAACCUCAAAUAAUAGUAGCAUUAAUUUUGGAGCCUCUAGUAACCAAUCUGAUUUAAAUGAAUUUAUAGAAAAUGCAAAAUCAAAUCCUAUCAGCGAAGACGAAAAUACUGUUCCACAUGAAAUUGAUUCCCCAAAUCAAUUUCGAAAGCGUAAAUUUUACGAGCCUCGUCAUGUUAGUGAAAUUUCAAUAUCAGAUUUUGCGACGCCUAAAAGGAGUAAAAGAACCCUUUCUUUAAUAAAAGAGACUGAUAAAAAAAAAAA